RNAcentral lists this microRNA precursor (82 nucleotides) under Populus trichocarpa (black cottonwood). RNAcentral's name for it is "MIR478 microRNA precursor family". It matches the Rfam family "MIR478 microRNA precursor family". Lineage: Eukaryota; Viridiplantae; Streptophyta; Magnoliopsida; Malpighiales; Salicaceae. The record is from Rfam by way of RNAcentral.
CUUUUUAAGACAUAACAACAACAUCUUUGAUGAGUCUUCUAUUUUUAGGGACUGAUGUCAUUUUCUGACGUGUCUAAAGACU